CCUGGGUCCCUGUGCCCGCGGGGCCUCGGGUCGGGGCUGGGCCCGAUCCUGCCCUGAGGGGAUCCAGAACCCGAGGAAGCCAGUGAAAGACACUUCAUAUGCUUGUGCCUCUUUUUGCCCUGGGAAUGUCACAGCUCCUCAGGGCAGAAAGGUUUUCCCACUGGCAUCUUCUGUGGAGAGUAAAUCUCCAUCAUAAACCACUUUCUAAGCAGCUGAGCAGGACAGGGGAUGAGAGCAUAUUUUAGAGCUUUUCUCCUUGUUGUUGAAAGUGCAAAAUAAGCCCAAUGAAAGCAUCCAGAGCCUGGUGGACAAAUGGAUACCCCUGGGCUGACUCUUCUGCAGCUGAUGAAGGAUGGCCAAGGACUGUUGGUUCUAUGAUUUAAAGCUUUGCCUGUGUAUUUAAAGCCAUUUUGACAUGUCUGGACAUAACCCUUGACAGAGCUCUUUGGAAAAUAUCCCCUCCUUGCCACUUGCUGUUAAAGCAGAGAAGUCUCUGGAUACUCCAAUCUCCUUCUGAGGAUUGGCCAUGGCAAGAUUGAGGACAGAAAGCAGUUUUUGGAGGAGACACUGCUGCUCCCAGGUGUGCAGCACAGCAUGGAUGCUCUGCCAGCUGGGAGUGCUUGGACCCCAUUUACAGCUGGCAAACUUUGAAGAAAUAAAAUAAAAUACCUUUUGUAACAUUA
Pipra filicauda (Wire-tailed manakin) is the source of this 683-nucleotide long non-coding RNA. RefSeq lists it as uncharacterized. The record is from RefSeq and is a predicted model, not a curated record. The transcript is spliced from 2 exons. NCBI's taxonomy places the organism in Eukaryota, Metazoa, Chordata, Aves, Passeriformes, Pipridae.